UACGUAGGGUCCAAGCGUUAAUCGGAAUUACUGGGCGUAAAGCGUGCGCAGGCGGUUUUGUAAGUCUGUCGUGAAAUCCCCGGGCUCAACCUGGGAAUUGCGAUGGAGACUGCAAGGCUAGAAUCUGGCAGAGGGGGGUAGAAUUCCACGUGUAGCAGUGAAAUGCGUAGAGAUGUGGAGGAACACCGAUGGCGAAGGCAGCCCCCUGGGUCAAGAUUGACGCUCAUGCACGAAAGCGUGGGGAGCAAGCAGG
This 253-nucleotide ribosomal RNA is filed under the name uncultured bacterium. RNAcentral's name for it is "partial 16S ribosomal RNA". It matches the Rfam family "Bacterial small subunit ribosomal RNA", at positions 524 to 776 of the family's 1533-position model. The record is from RNAcentral.